AGCGAGCGUUAGCGGCGGGCUUAACACAUGCAAGUCGAACGCGAAAGGGAUUCGUCCCCAGUAGCGUGGCGUCCGGGUGAGUAACACGUAGGAAACCUUGCCUAGAGUGGGGGAUAACGUCCCGAAAGGGACGCUAAUACCGCAUAAGCCCACGUCGGCCUCGGCCGAUGCGGGAAAAGAUGGCCUCUGAAUUCAAGCUAUCGCUCAAGGAUGGUCCUGCGGCGCAUCAGCUAGUUGGUGGGGUAACGGCCUACCAAGGCGAAGACGCGUAGCUGGUCUGAGAGGAUGAUCAGCCACACUGGCACUGAAACACGGGCCAGACUCCUACGGGAGGCAGCAGUGGGGAAUUUUGGACAAUGGGCGAAAGCCUGAUCCAGCGACGCCGCGUGGGUGA
This 394-nucleotide ribosomal RNA is filed under the name uncultured bacterium. RNAcentral describes it as "bacterial SSU rRNA". It matches the Rfam family "Bacterial small subunit ribosomal RNA", at positions 29 to 408 of the family's 1533-position model. The record is from RNAcentral.